Molecule: ribosomal RNA, 643 nt
Filed under: uncultured fungus
Lineage: Eukaryota; Fungi
Description: eukaryotic LSU rRNA
Rfam family: Eukaryotic large subunit ribosomal RNA
Source: RNAcentral
CCCGCUGAACUUAAGCAUAUCAAUAAGCGGAGGAAAAGAAACUAACAAGGAUUCCCUCAGUAACGGCGAGUGAAGCGGGAAGAGCUCAAAUUUUGAAUCUGGCGGUGUUUGUCCGUCCGAGUUGUAAUCUAGAGAAGCGUCUUCCGCGCUGGACCGUGUACAAGUCUCCUGGAAGGGAGCGUCAUAGAGGGUGAGAAUCCCGUCUUUGACACGGACUACCAGUGCUAUGUGAUGCGCUCUCGACGAGUCGAGUUGUUUGGGAAUGCAGCUCAAAAUGGGUGGUAAAUUCCAUCUAAAGCUAAAUACAGGCGAGAGACCGAUAGCGAACAAGUACCGUGAGGGAAAGAUGAAAAGAACUUUGGAAAGAGAGUUAAACAGUAUGUGAAAUUGCUGAAAGGGAAACGCUUGAUGUCAGUCACGUUGGCUAGGGAUCAACCUUGCUUCUCGCUGGGUGUAUUUCCUAGUGGACGGGUCAGCAUCAGUUUCGGUCGCUGUACAAGGGCAAAGGGAACGUGGCACUCCUUGGAGUGUGUUAUAGCCUUUCGUCGUAUGCAGUGGUUGGGACUGAGGAACUCGGCACGAAAUCUAUUUUGUGCUUAGGAUGCUGGCAUAAUGGCCUUAAGCGACCCGUCUUGAAACACGG